AGCUUAUGAAGAAACCUUCGGGUGACUGAAUAAGUGCAAAGCGGCGGACGGGUGAGUAACGCGUGGGUAACCUGCCCCAUACAAAGGGAUAGCCACUGGAAACGGUGAUUAAUACCAUAUGAGAUCGUAGAGUCGCAUGACUUAGCGGUUAAAGAUUUAUCGGUAUGGGAUGGACCCGCGUCUGAUUAGCUAGUUGGUAAGGUAACGGCUUACCAAGGCGACGAUCAGUAGCCGACCUGAGAGGGUGAUCGGCCACACUGGAACUGAGACACGGUCCAGACUCCUACGGGAGGCAGCAGUGGGGAAUAUUGCACAAUGGGCGCAAGCCUGAUGCAGCAACGCCG
Molecule: ribosomal RNA, 344 nt
Filed under: uncultured bacterium
Lineage: Bacteria
Description: bacterial SSU rRNA
Rfam family: Bacterial small subunit ribosomal RNA
Source: RNAcentral